This is a long non-coding RNA of Cucurbita maxima (winter squash), 132 nucleotides long. RefSeq lists it as uncharacterized. The record is from RefSeq and is a predicted model, not a curated record. The transcript is spliced from 3 exons. NCBI's taxonomy places the organism in Eukaryota, Viridiplantae, Streptophyta, Magnoliopsida, Cucurbitales, Cucurbitaceae.
UUAUCACAAAAUAUAGGCACACUAUGAAACUUUAAUCCAAAAUCACAAAGAGUUUGUUUCAUCCAAAGAAUUUGAGCACAGCAACUAGCAACCGCAAUAUAUUCCGCUUCGGUAAAUUUUGUUCAGAAGUUA